Molecule: ribosomal RNA, 301 nt
Filed under: uncultured bacterium
Lineage: Bacteria
Description: partial 16S ribosomal RNA
Rfam family: Bacterial small subunit ribosomal RNA
Source: RNAcentral
CAGUAGCCGCGGUAAUACGGAGGGGGCUAGCGUUGUUCGGAAUUACUGGGCGUAAAGCGCACGUAGGCGGCUUUGUAAGUUAGAGGUGAAAGCCUGGGGCUCAACUCCAGAAUUGCCUUUAAGACUGCAUCGCUUGAACGUCGGAGAGGUGAGUGGAAUUCCGAGUGUAGAGGUGAAAUUCGUAGAUAUUCGGAAGAACACCAGUGGCGAAGGCGGCUCACUGGACGACUGUUGACGCUGAGGUGCGAAAGCGUGGGGAGCAAACAGGAUUAGAUACCCCCGUAGUCCCUGUCUCUUAUAC